GGAAUCAAAUCCAUGUAAUUAAGUGCCAUCACAAAUCAAACAACCUAAAGUACCUCAAACAUAAAUCUAGCAAAGAGUUGGUGAUAUUCAUCAUAAAGAUUCCAAGCAUAAUUUUGAAGGCCAUUGACGUAGUUGAUAAAUAUUGAAUGAUUUAGGAUUUAUCAAAAGUUCAUAGUUAUUAAAUAGCAAACUUUCUCUACUUUUCAUUUGAUAAAACAAGAUUUAUGUAAAUAGUCAUAAAAUUAUCUGGUUGAAUUCAUGAG
This 263-nucleotide unclassified non-coding RNA is filed under the name Hevea brasiliensis (rubber tree). The record is from RNAcentral. Lineage: Eukaryota; Viridiplantae; Streptophyta; Magnoliopsida; Malpighiales; Euphorbiaceae.